RNAcentral lists this ribosomal RNA (465 nucleotides) under Vreelandella stevensii. RNAcentral's name for it is "partial 16S ribosomal RNA". It matches the Rfam family "Bacterial small subunit ribosomal RNA", at positions 338 to 795 of the family's 1533-position model. Lineage: Bacteria; Pseudomonadati; Pseudomonadota; Gammaproteobacteria; Oceanospirillales; Halomonadaceae. The record is from RNAcentral.
CCUACGGGAGGCAGCAGUGGGGAAUAUUGGACAAUGGGGGCAACCCUGAUCCAGCCAUGCCGCGUGUGUGAAGAAGGCCCUCGGGUUGUAAAGCACUUUCAGUGAGGAAGAACGCCUGGUGGUUAAUACCCAUCAGGAAAGACAUCACUCACAGAAGAAGCACCGGCUAACUCCGUGCCAGCAGCCGCGGUAAUACGGAGGGUGCGAGCGUUAAUCGGAAUUACUGGGCGUAAAGCGCGCGUAGGUGGCUUGAUAAGCCGGUUGUGAAAGCCCCGGGCUCAACCUGGGAACGGCAUCCGGAACUGUCAAGCUAGAGUGCAGGAGAGGAAGGUAGAAUUCCCGGUGUAGCGGUGAAAUGCGUAGAGAUCGGGAGGAAUACCAGUGGCGAAGGCGGCCUUCUGGACUGACACUGACACUGAGGUGCGAAAGCGUGGGUAGCAAACAGGAGUAGAUACCCCGGUAGUC